AACCUGGUUGAUCCUGCCAGUAGUCAUACGCUCGUCUCAUUAGAUUAAGCCAUGCAUGUCUAAGUAUAAAUACUUUUACUUUGAAACUGCGAACGGCUCAUUAUAUCAGUUAUAGUUUAUUUGAUAGUCCCUUACUACUUGGAUAACCGUAGUAAUUCUACGAGCUAAUACAUGCAUCAAUACCCAACUGUUCGCGGACGGGUAGUAUUUAUUAGAUAGAAACCAACCCUCUUCGGAGGCGCUCAGGUGAUUCAUGAUAACUCUGCGAAUCGCAUGGCCUCGGUGCCGGCGAUGGAUCAUUCAAGUUUCUGCCCUAUCAGCUUUGGAUGGUAGGGUAUCGGCCUACCAUGGCUU
Molecule: ribosomal RNA, 354 nt
Filed under: uncultured marine eukaryote
Lineage: Eukaryota
Description: SSU rRNA
Rfam family: Eukaryotic small subunit ribosomal RNA
Source: RNAcentral